UACGUAGGCAGCGAGCGUUGUUCGGAGUUACUGGGCGUAAAGGGUGUGCAGGUGGCGCCGUAAGUCGGGUGUGAAAUUUUAGAGCUUAACUCUGAAACUGCAUUCGAUACUGCGGUGCUUGAGGACUGGAGAGGAGACUGGAAUUUACGGUGUAGCAGUGAAAUGCGUAGAUAUCAGUAGGAACACCAAUGGCGAAGGCAGCUUGCUGGCAUGUAUCUGACGCUAAGGCACGAAAGCGUGUGGAGCGAACAGG
This 253-nucleotide ribosomal RNA is filed under the name uncultured bacterium. RNAcentral describes it as "partial 16S ribosomal RNA". It matches the Rfam family "Bacterial small subunit ribosomal RNA", at positions 524 to 776 of the family's 1533-position model. The record is from RNAcentral.